CAUUAGCUGCGGGGUUCGUGAUACAGCUUUAUCCCAGAGGCCUAUGCGUUUCGCAUACGGGAACUGCCUCUGUCCAGGCCGUGGUCUGGUUAUUGUGGUGCCCACCUGGUUUACCGGGCUUCAUGCGGAUAUUUGAUUUGUACACGGCCUUCGCGGCGCCUUU
RNAcentral lists this non-coding RNA (163 nucleotides) under Alphaproteobacteria bacterium. RNAcentral's name for it is "6S RNA". It matches the Rfam family "6S / SsrS RNA". From Rfam's summary of the family: E. coli 6S RNA was the first non coding RNA to be sequenced, but its function was unknown until recently. It consists of 184 nucleotides that fold into an extended hairpin structure with a large single-stranded internal bulge. The 6S RNA specifically associates with RNA polymerase holoenzyme containing the sigma70 specificity factor. RNAcentral also lists the same sequence under 1 other name. The record is from RNAcentral. Lineage: Bacteria; Pseudomonadati; Pseudomonadota; Alphaproteobacteria.